GGGAAAGGAAGGAGAGAGAGAGAGAAGAGAACAAGGAACAAAGGAGUGAGGGAGAAGAGAGGGGGGAAAUAAUAAGUUUAGAUUUAGUAUAGUGAAGUUCUUAGUGAUAUUGCUGAUAGUAUUGUAUCCUUAAGCCCCGAGUGUGCUGAAGAGUCCAGGGAUAUCUACUAUAUUCCCCUAAAAGGAGAUCCAUGAAGACGUCAUGCUAUUAAAGCGUGGUAGUAUCUGAAGGAAAGAGGAGGGUGAAAUGAACAAGAGGUGUUAUUUUGAAUCAGGACGUUUGUUUACAGAUAGUGAGUUUGGAUAAACGUAUGACGAGUUGUCGAGUGGAGCCGUGGCCUGAUGAGGCAAGGCAGGAAAUCAAGCCCCCAUAUCCUGAUAACCCCAUUAUGGUGAUGUGUGGCCUUG
This is a non-coding RNA of Pelobates cultripes (western spadefoot toad), 408 nucleotides long. The record is from the annotation of a GenBank genome assembly. Lineage: Eukaryota; Metazoa; Chordata; Amphibia; Anura; Pelobatidae.